UACGAAGGGGGCUAGCGUUGCUCGGAAUUACUGGGCGUAAAGCGCACGUAGGCGGCUUUUUAAGUCGGAGGUGAAAUCCUGGAGCUCAACUCCAGAACUGCCUUCGAUACUGGAGAGCUCGAGUUCGGGAGAGGUGAGUGGAACUGCGAGUGUAGAGGUGAAAUUCGUAGAUAUUCGCAAGAACACCAGUGGCGAAAGCGGCGCGCUGGACCACAACUGACGCUGAGGAACGAAAGCUAGGGGAGCAAACAGG
Molecule: ribosomal RNA, 253 nt
Filed under: uncultured bacterium
Lineage: Bacteria
Description: partial 16S ribosomal RNA
Rfam family: Bacterial small subunit ribosomal RNA
Source: RNAcentral